This 499-nucleotide long non-coding RNA is filed under the name Gouania willdenowi (blunt-snouted clingfish). Its description in RNAcentral is "lncRNA (ENSGWIG00000022959.1)". Lineage: Eukaryota; Metazoa; Chordata; Actinopteri; Blenniiformes; Gobiesocidae. The record is from RNAcentral.
UGAGUUUUGAGGAGUCGGCUGGUGUCGGAGAAAGAGGCAGGAGGGAGCAGGUUGGAGAAGGGGAGGAGUGUAAAGAGGUGGGGGAGAAGAAAAGGGGGGAGCAGCAUGAGAGGGAGGUUUGAUAGUGAGACUGAGCUGAGACAGUUUGCAGAGCGAGGAGACAGAGGCAGGAGCAGGACCAGCUCUCCUCUCCUCUCCAUCCCAGAGAAGAACCAGUCCGUCCCAGCUCGCCGGUGCCAAACCCAACAGAAGCUCCAACCAGCCAAGCCGUCUGUGCUGAGAUCAAGAGCCCAUGAUGUCGACAGAGGCUGCCUGAAAACCACGGCCGGCAUCAAACAAAGCGGUUUCAAAGUAAAAGCACCAAAAAGAGGUCUUAAGGAGUCGAUGCAGAGACCUCCAGCAACAAAGGCCUGAGCGAUGAAACCCCUGUGCAGAGAUUAAGAGAAGAUUACAGGGAGUGACUAAUGAUCUCACACAAACACACUAACAAAAAUGUGCU